UACAAUACCGUAUCAGACACUAGAGACUUAAGGGGCCAUAACCAGUACCUUGAAAAAAUACAUGGAAGGUCAUGAUAAUUUUUUUUAAUAAAAAGUAUAAAUUAUAUUAAUAGACACCAUAAGGGUGCCAACCCCUAUACAAACUAUUUACAUAUUUACCAAGAUCUCAACAAGGUCCCCCAAAUCAUCCAUUGAGUAAAAAAGAUGACCAAAAGUCAAAGUCAAGGAUCUAGAACCAUCUGUUCCUAAUCCUAUCAAAAUCCCCCCACAUCCUCAACCCCCUCCAAAGCUUUUCUACUCCUCAACUUCCAUGUCAUCCAGAAAAUGGUGCGUGGGGAUCAUGAUAGUGUCCAGGACUAGAAUAAUUUUCCAAGUAUGCCUACUGCCAAGACAUUCUUUUCAGCCCAGAAACAUCAACUGUAAUGCAGCGUGAUAUUGCAUGUAGAAUAAUUUCAAUUACAGUCAUGAUUUAUGAAAUCAAUUUGUAAACUACUACCUUACAAAUUUUUGAGUUCUUUGCUCAUAAUUUUUUUUAAAAAAAAGAAAAUUAGAUUUUGAAGGAAAGAAGAGGAAAAUGCCAUGAACGAGCAUAUCUUUUAGGCUCAUCAAGAGUUAGAACUUUAAAAAUCAUGGUUUCCUUUUCCUAAACACUAGAACUUGCAGAUUCAUGGAAAUUCAAUUCAAGGAAGGAUUCUGCACGGUAACUCACCAUCUGAGAUCAUUGAGCACUUCACAAAAAGUGUUGGAAGGCCUCCGGAGCUUCCUGAGUGGAUUAUAUCUGGGGCUGUGGUUGGAAUGCAAGGUGGCACAGAUGCGGUUCGCCAUGUUUGGGAUGAACUGAAGACUUACAAGGUUCCCAUUUCAUCAUUUUGGUUGCAGGUAAUGCACACUGCAUGCCCUGAAGAGAAACGUCUUUUUAGCUUAUUGAUGUGCACAACUGAUGAUCCUCGUUUCAUCUCAGCAAAUAAUUUUAACAUCUUCACAUAUCAAACUUGAUUAAUUUCAACUUUGCUUCCACCAAGUAUUUAGCAGUUUAAUCAAUUGAGUGGCACUUGUUGUGUAGGAUUGGGUGGGGCAACGGGAGACACUGAUUGGAUCUCAGCUGUGGUGGAACUGGGAAGUGGAUACCAAAAGGUAUGAGGGAUGGCGACAGCUUAUUAAAGAUCUUGGUGCCGAGCAUAUUAAAGUUAUGACAUACUGCAACCCAUGUCUAGCCCCGGUAUUUAUCUCCUUGCUCCAAGUUUUCUCUACUAACAUUAUGGUAUAACUAUUUCAUGACCAAGUAGCCUCUCUAAACUUUGAGAAGGGGAUUGCCACUGUUUUUAAAACAAUCAAUUAUUUUUUCUAUGCAUAGAACUUCCCUUGAACUGAAAGUAGUUCUAAACAAACUAAUUAUUCAAUUGUGACCGGAAAAGACAAAGAAAUUGCAACUAUGUUUUGAAGCUUUAAAUUUCUCUGACAGACGAAUGAUAAGCCUAACCGGAGGAGAAACCUAUUUGAAGAGGCAAAGAAGUUGGACAUCCUAAUCAAAGACAAGUAUGGAGAACCAUAUAUGGUUCCAAAUACAGCUUUUGAUGUGGGAAUGUUGGAUUUGACACACCCAGUUGCAACAGGUUGGUUCAAGCAGGUUUUACAGGAAAUGGUAGAUGAUGGAGUCAGAGGAUGGAUGGCUGAUUUUGGGGAAGGGCUGCCUGUCGACGCUACCCUAUAUUCAGGUUUGAAGGCUUAAUUUGUUCUUGAUAGAUUUGUCAAGGUAUUUGUGCAGGUAAAAAAGUUAAUUCCCAUUCCUAAAAAUUUGGAUAGCUUCCAAUAGCAAGGAUUUUUGUCACCUCCAAAAUAUGCUUUGUUAUUGACCAUGUCUUGAUUUGUGCUUUGCUGUUCUAUAACUCGUCAAGUUUCUGGUAAAUUUUAGUAUAAUUAUAAUUUUCAUUUUCUUUCUUGCAUAAAUGAUUAAUACUGUGUUUAUUUGAAUUUCUAGUGACUGCUAACGAGGUAGGAGCUCUUAUUUCAGGUGAAGAUCCUAUUUCAGCUCAUAACAGAUAUCCAGAGUUAUGGGCCAAAAUAAACAGAGAGUUUGUUGAAGAAUGGAAAAGCAACCAUGCAACUAAGGAAGGAGAAGAACCAGAAGAUGCUUUGAUCUUCUUCAUGAGGGCUGGUUUCAGAGAGAGUCCCAGAUGGGGUAUGUUAUUUUGGGAAGGAGACCAAAUGGUAAGCUGGCAGGCUAAUGACGGUAUUAAGAGUGCUGUUGUUGGCCUAUUAAGCAGUGGACUUUCUGGGUAUGCCUUUAAUCACAGUGAUAUUGGAGGCUACUGUUCAGUAAAUUUACCAAUUAUUAAGUAUCAGAGAAGUGAAGAAUUGCUUUUAAGGUGGAUGGAGCUAAAUGCUUUCACCAGUGUUUUCCGGACACAUGAAGUAAGUAAACCUGAAUUACUAUCAGUUAUGUUAUCUAUCAUUUUUCCCAUAACAAGAAGUAGAGAGAUAUACAUUCUUCAACUUCUCUAAGCAAUUAAUACCAUGUGCAAUAUAGACAUACUAUCUGCUAUAAAGCCUAUUAGCUCCAUGGGCAAUACUUAUAACUAGCAAGUCUAUUAUCACCUGUGAAUAUGUAAAGCUUUUCGUAUAAAAUCAGGAUAUAUAUAUAUAUGUGUGUGUGUGUAUUUGUAUAUAUACAUAUACCAGAAAACAAGACUCAAGUUUAGGUUUUUAGUGAAAGUUAAUAGGUUGACAGUAAAUUACAUUUCUGAGUUUUACUUAAAAAAGUAAACUGUAAUGAUAUUUUUGAAGAGUUUAGAUAUUCCUCACUGGCAGGGAAACAGACCUACGUGCAACACUCAAUUUUACUCAAACGAGCAGACUCUUAACCAUUUUGCACGAUUUGCCAAAAUUUAUACCGCUUGGAAAUUCUACAGAAUCCAACUUGUAAAGGUGAUAAUAAAUUGAUGCUAUGUCCACUUUUUUCCAAGAAAAUUCACGGAUCUAAACUCUCUCUUUUUCAAUAAAACAGGAAGCAGCCCAGAAAGGCUUGCCUGUUUGCCGCCACCUAUUUCUACACUAUCCGGAUGAUGAACGGGUGCAUAGACUGAGUUACCAGCAAUUCUUGGUGGGUAGUGAGAUCCUAGUGGUGCCUGUCCUUGAUAAGGGCAAGAAGAAUGUCAAAGCAUAUUUUCCAGUAGGAGAAACUUGUUCUUGGCAACACAUAUGGACAGGAAAGUUAUAUACAAAACAAGGUUCAGAAGUUUUGGUAGGAGCUCCAAUUGGUUAUCCUGCUGUAUUUGUAAAAUGCGGGUCUAUCACUGGAGAAACUUUUCUCGCAAACUUGAGAAAUUUUGAUUUACUUUAAGAAUAUGACUUGUAACCUAAUGUUUGUCUAAUGUAGAGUAGCAUUUCUGCUUGUCAUGGGGCUUCCAUGCAGACCUAGAAUAAUGGUAAAAUCAAAACUAAAUGAAAUCAAAAGACGAUCACACGUAGACCCAAAUUCAAGCCCUUACUGAAGUGUCCUCUCCUCCCCGAGUCAUUUAAUCAAACAACUACCGUGCAUUAAAAUUCUGGUUCUAAAAUCUAUUCAAGUUCAAUAGACGAUGGUCCAUAAUCAGCUGCAACACUGAAUUCCAUGACAAAUCAAAUCAACCAAUCAUAAAGAGAACCUAGUUAGACAAAUGCCAAAAGAAACACCUCAUCGGAAGAUACUAAACAAACAUUGAAGAAGAGGUAUACAAAGUAUCUGCAUAUGUUAAUGGAAGAUCACAUUUCCAGUUGAGAGCAGUAACUAACCUUAGAAUCAAAGGCUGAGCGUGAAGCUUGAAGAUGAAUUAGCAAACGAGACCUCGUCGUUACUAAGCUCAGCUGGUUCUUCCCUGUGGAUUCCCAAAGGGAUUAAGCUUAACAAAGUCCUAUGGAGCUAAGCAAACGAGAAGAACUCUCAUCGUUGGAACAGAAGAUGCAGUGAAGAAGAAAAGCCAGAGAUUGAAGUGAUUGGAUCAUGGCUGAACUUUUUCUCUGUAAGCUUUCAGUUUCUGAAUUGAUUCGUAUAGUUUCGCGGGAUAUUCUCCCACUCGUGGGGUCUACAGUAUUAAUUUAUAUCCGACCUCAGCAAAUCCAAACGUCC
Molecule: long non-coding RNA, 4105 nt
Filed under: Carica papaya (papaya)
Lineage: Eukaryota; Viridiplantae; Streptophyta; Magnoliopsida; Brassicales; Caricaceae
Description: long non-coding RNA (CPAP_LNC012336)
Source: RNAcentral